CGUCUCCGCACAACGACUCCGCCCAUACUUUCAGGUGCACGCCAUUGUGGUUCUCACCAACCUGCCCCUGAGGGCGAUAUUGCGUCGACCCGACACAUCGGGAUGACUGGCGAAGUGGGCAAUGAAGCUCAGCGAGUUCGACAUACAGUACUGACCACGACCUGCCUUAAAGGCCUAGGUCCUGGCCGACUUCAUCGUAGAAUGCCUGACAGCCGACUAAGGG
RNAcentral lists this long non-coding RNA (223 nucleotides) under Elaeis guineensis (African oil palm). RNAcentral's name for it is "long non-coding RNA (EGUI_LNC003985)". Lineage: Eukaryota; Viridiplantae; Streptophyta; Magnoliopsida; Arecales; Arecaceae. The record is from RNAcentral.